ACACACACACACACACACACACACACACACACACACACUCUCUCUCUCUCUGUGACCCACACACAUAUGCACAUGCACAAAAAACACAGCCACACGGAUACAUAGUGGACACAUACAUUUACGCCCAUACACACAAACACACCUGUGCACACAAACACACAUGCAUACUAGUAUGUGCAGUCACAAAUAUGCACACACGCAUGGCGCAUGACAAUACAACAAACACUGAGAGUCAGACUGGACAAACAAUGUUUAUUUCAUUUGCAACUAUGGACAGGUGUCAUACUUACAAUAACAUGUACACAAUACAAACACUUCAAGACUGGACAAACUGUGUAUUUAACUUGCAACUAUGGACAGGUACAAUACAUCCAUACUGAUAUAAUGACAAAAAUACACACACACACACACACCACCCACCACACACACACUUCAAGACUGGACAAAGUGUGCAUUUAAUUUAAAACUAUUGACAGGUACAAUACAUUGUACUUGCAUAUACACAAUACAAACACUUCAAGACUGGACAAACUGUGUAUUUAACUUGCAACUAUGGACAGGUACAAUACCUCCAUACUGAUAUAAUGACAAAAAUACACACACACACACACACACUGACAUAAUGUCAAAUACACUUAUACAUAGUGGACAACACGGAUACAUAGUGGACACAUACAUUUACGCCCAUACACACAAACACACCUGUGCACACAAACACACAUGCAUACUAGUAUGUGCAGUCACAAAUAUACAUACAUGUACUUAUGCACACACGCAUGGCGCAUGACAAUACAACAAACACUGAGAGUCAGACUGGACAAACAAUGUUUAUUUCAUUUGCAACUAUGGACAGGUGUCAUACUUACAAUAACAUGUCAAGACUGGACAAACUGUGUAUUUAACUUGCAACUAUGGACAGGUACAAUACCUCCAUACUGAUAUAAUGACAAAAAUAUACACACACACACACUGACAUGAUGUCAAAUACACACACACACACACACCACACACACACUUCAAGACUGGACAAACUGUGUAUCUAACUUGCAACUAUGGACAAGUGCAAUACCUCCAUACUGAUAUAAUGACAAAAAUACAGACACACACUGACAUAAUGACAAAUACACACACAUACACACGACCACCCACACACACCCACCACACACUUCAAGACUGGACAAAGUGUACAUUUAAUUUAAAACUAUUGACAGGUGCAAUACUUACAAAUACACAAUACAAACAGUUUCAGACUGAUGAAACAUCGUGCAUUUAAUUUACAACUAUUGACAGGUGCAAAGACUAGUGUAAUGACCCCCCCCCCACACACACACAUGCAGUCAUACUUGCACACGCGCAUUGACACAAGCACACACACACA
This is a long non-coding RNA of Branchiostoma floridae (Florida lancelet), 1378 nucleotides long. RefSeq lists it as uncharacterized. The transcript has 2 exons. The record is from RefSeq and is a predicted model, not a curated record. NCBI's taxonomy places the organism in Eukaryota, Metazoa, Chordata, Leptocardii, Amphioxiformes, Branchiostomatidae.